RNAcentral lists this non-coding RNA (135 nucleotides) under Salinispora tropica. The record is from RNAcentral. Lineage: Bacteria; Bacillati; Actinomycetota; Actinomycetes; Micromonosporales; Micromonosporaceae.
UGCCCGACCAUGCGCUACCGUGCUACCGACCAUUCCGCAGCGAAGCCGGUGGGAAGCCGGCACUGUCCCGCAACUGUGAUGCCCCGGGGUUUCCCGGGGACGAGUCAGGUCGCCUGCGGUCGGUCGCGAUACGCG